UUGAACGCUGGCGGCACGCCUAACACAUGCAAGUCGAGCGGUAGCAUGUUUUGUAGCAAUACAAAAUGAUGGCGAGCGGCGGACGGGUGAGGAACACGUAGGAAUCUGCCCUUUAGCGGGGGACAACCAAGGGAAACUUUGGCUAAUACCGCGUAAUCUCGAGAGAGGAAAGCUGGCCGCAAGGUUGGCGCUAGAGGAGGAGCCUGCGUCCGAUUAGCUAGUUGGUAAGGUAAAGCUUACCAAGGCGAUGAUCGGUAACUGGUCUGAGAGGACGACCAGUCACACUGGGACUGAGACACGGCCCAGACUCCUACGGGAGGCAGCAGUGGGGAAUAUUGACGGGAAUGGGGGCAACCCUGAUCCAGCGAUGCCGCGUGAGUGAAGAAGGCCUUCGGGUCGUAAAG
This 404-nucleotide ribosomal RNA is filed under the name uncultured bacterium. RNAcentral describes it as "bacterial SSU rRNA". It matches the Rfam family "Bacterial small subunit ribosomal RNA", at positions 29 to 430 of the family's 1533-position model. The record is from RNAcentral.